CUAUCCUAACAUUGCAUAAUGAUGUUGCCACUAAAAACGUUGCCUUAGAUGCUUAAAAUUUGAUUAAAGUGGGUGUAUACCAACAUCAUGUAGCGGUGUUGCCAUUGAUACGAAAACUGUUGCCUUAACCAUAAAAAAAUCUCAAUGCCAACAUCUUGCCAACACAUUCGGAGAUGUUGCCUUAAAUAAUGAAAAAUGUUUAAAAAGUUUGGUGGGAAACAAAAAUUCAGCAGCCCGCUCAAAAUGAAAAAUAGCCGCUCAAGAUUAAAAAAAAUAGAAAAAUAAAACAUAUCAACUAAAAACAUAUCUUUCACCCUCAAAACAUAUCACCGUCUCAAAAAAUGUAGGUACGUGAGCUCUCACCCUCUCUCACUAUCUCGCACGUUCUCACCCUCUCUCACCGUCUCGCUCUAACCCUCUCUCACUGUCAUCAUCUCUCGAACGAAGUUUAAUUAGGUUUAUUUUAUGUUGCCUGGAGUUUAAUAGGUGUCGGAGUUGAAGUCGGGGCUUCAGAGCCGCGCGAUUUGGUCGGAAUGGGAGUUGGAGUUUUGCUAUUUGAAUCUUCGAUUGGAGCUUCAAUUUGUUGGUUUGUUGUUUCAAUCAUCAGAAGUACCCAAAAAUCGCUCCUCUAUACCAGUACAAACUAUGUAUACAUGUAGUUGGGGCUGUUCUUGAAGGUUGAGUUUCACCUUUCUCGAGGUGAAUAAAAUGACAAUAUAUGCAAUGAAACAAGCUGUAAAGGAUCUGCUGAAAUUGAAGAUUAUUAAGUGCCAUGGCUCAGAGUAGGAGUCAUGAGGGAAGAAAACAGGAUGUGUAACAUGAGCUCCCUCUUUUUUCUGUCUCAGUUGAGAGUUUAAUUGAGCACCAAGAUGAGUGCAAUAUCCAGGGAAUUUUACCGAAUCAUCAACACAUAAGCUUUCCACAGCAGCAGCAGCAGGUCUGCUCACCUCGUCCAGCUUGCAGCACAAGCCUUUCUAGGGAUGUAAACUUGACUAAUUAGGCCACAUUGUCAAGAUCAUUCUCGAUGCCAGUAACCAAUAAAGUUUAAUCUGUGAAAUUUUAGUGUUGUGGUAAAAUUUCAGUAUAGAUGGAACUUUAGUAUUUUGUGGUAGAAUUAUGUGGAAUUGGUAUUGUGGAGUUUGGAUUUAACUAUGUUAUAGUAUGUUGGUUUAGUGACUA
Long non-coding RNA from Daucus carota subsp. sativus, 1179 nucleotides. RefSeq lists it as uncharacterized. The record is from RefSeq and is a predicted model, not a curated record. NCBI's taxonomy places the organism in Eukaryota, Viridiplantae, Streptophyta, Magnoliopsida, Apiales, Apiaceae. The transcript is spliced from 5 exons.